GACGAACGCUGGCGGCGUGCUUAACACAUGCAAGUGGAGCGACGAACUGGGGGCUUGCCCCGGGCAGAGCCGCGAACGGGUGAGUAACACGUGGGUAACCCACCCCGACUGACCGGGACGAACCCGACGGAAACUACGGGCGUAAUACCGGAUGUGCUCCUUGACCUCGAGGUCAAGGUGUAAAGAUAGCUUCGGCCUUCGCAUCGGGCGGGCCCGCGGCCCAUUAGCUUGUUGGUGGGGUAACGGCCUACCAAGGCGACGAUGGG
RNAcentral lists this ribosomal RNA (266 nucleotides) under uncultured bacterium. RNAcentral describes it as "partial 16S ribosomal RNA". It matches the Rfam family "Bacterial small subunit ribosomal RNA", at positions 28 to 283 of the family's 1533-position model. The record is from RNAcentral.